RNAcentral lists this ribosomal RNA (1281 nucleotides) under Staphylococcus aureus. Its description in RNAcentral is "partial 23S ribosomal RNA". It matches the Rfam family "Bacterial large subunit ribosomal RNA", at positions 1622 to 2904 of the family's 2925-position model. The record is from RNAcentral. Lineage: Bacteria; Bacillati; Bacillota; Bacilli; Caryophanales; Staphylococcaceae.
UCUAGAUAGAAAAUAGGUGCCCGUACCGCAAACCGACACAGGUAGUCAAGAUGAGAAUUCUAAGGUGAGCGAGCGAACUCUCGUUAAGGAACUCGGCAAAAUGACCCCGUAACUUCGGGAGAAGGGGUGCUCUUUAGGGUUAACGCCCAGAAGAGCCGCAGUGAAUAGGCCCAAGCGACUGUUUAUCAAAAACACAGGUCUCUGCUAAACCGUAAGGUGAUGUAUAGGGGCUGACGCCUGCCCGGUGCUGGAAGGUUAAGAGGAGUGGUUAGCUUCUGCGAAGCUACGAAUCGAAGCCCCAGUAAACGGCGGCCGUAACUAUAACGGUCCUAAGGUAGCGAAAUUCCUUGUCGGGUAAGUUCCGACCCGCACGAAAGGCGUAACGAUUUGGGCACUGUCUCAACGAGAGACUCGGUGAAAUCAUAGUACCUGUGAAGAUGCAGGUUACCCGCGACAGGACGGAAAGACCCCGUGGAGCUUUACUGUAGCCUGAUAUUGAAAUUCGGCACAGCUUGUACAGGAUAGGUAGGAGCCUUUGAAACGUGAGCGCUAGCUUACGUGGAGGCGCUGGUGGGAUACUACCCUAGCUGUGUUGGCUUUCUAACCCGCACCACUUAUCGUGGUGGGAGACAGUGUCAGGCGGGCAGUUUGACUGGGGCGGUCGCCUCCUAAAAGGUAACGGAGGCGCUCAAAGGUUCCCUCAGAAUGGUUGGAAAUCAUUCAUAGAGUGUAAAGGCAUAAGGGAGCUUGACUGCGAGACCUACAAGUCGAGCAGGGUCGAAAGACGGACUUAGUGAUCCGGUGGUUCCGCAUGGAAGGGCCAUCGCUCAACGGAUAAAAGCUACCCCGGGGAUAACAGGCUUAUCUCCCCCAAGAGUUCACAUCGACGGGGAGGUUUGGCACCUCGAUGUCGGCUCAUCGCAUCCUGGGGCUGUAGUCGGUCCCAAGGGUUGGGCUGUUCGCCCAUUAAAGCGGUACGCGAGCUGGGUUCAGAACGUCGUGAGACAGUUCGGUCCCUAUCCGUCGUGGGCGUAGGAAAUUUGAGAGGAGCUGUCCUUAGUACGAGAGGACCGGGAUGGACAUACCUCUGGUGUACCAGUUGUCGUGCCAACGGCAUAGCUGGGUAGCUAUGUGUGGACGGGAUAAGUGCUGAAAGCAUCUAAGCAUGAAGCCCCCCUCAAGAUGAGAUUUCCCAACUUCGGUUAUAAGAUCCCUCAAAGAUGAUGAGGUUAAUAGGUUCGAGGUGGAAGCAUGGUGACAUGUGGAGCUGACGAAUACUAA